GAUGAACGCUAGCGACAGGCCUAACACAUGCAAGUCGAGGGGUAGCACNGGAUAGCUUGCUAUUUGGGUGACGACCGGCGCACGGGUGAGUAGCGCGUAUGCAACCNGCCUAUAAGAGGGGGAUAGCCUUUCGAAAGAAAGAUUAAUACCGCAUAAUACUAUUUACCUGCAUGGGUAAAUAGUUAAACUAUCUGGCUUAUAGAUGGGCAUGCGUUCCAUUAGAUAGUUGGUGAGGUAACGGCUCACCAAGUCAGCGAUGGAUAGGGGUUCUGAGAGGAAGGUCCCCCACACUGGUACUGAGACACGGACCAGACUCCUACGGGAGGCAGCAGUGAGGAAUAUUGGUCAAUGGGCGAGAGCCUGAACCAGCCAAGUCGCGUGAAGGAUGAAGGUCUUAUGGAUUGUAAACUUCUUUUAUAAGGGAAUAAAAAAGAUCACGUGUGGUCUAUUGCAUGUACCUUAUGAAUAAGCAUCGGCUAACUCCGUGCCAGCAGCCGCGGUAAUACGGAGGAUGCGAGCGUUAUCCGGAUUUAUUGGGUUUAAAGGGUGCGUAGGCGGUUUAUUAAGUCAGUGGUGAAAGUUUUCGGCUCAACCGGAAAAUUGCCAUUGAAACUGAUAGACUUGAGUGUAAACGAGGUAGGCGGAAUU
Molecule: ribosomal RNA, 648 nt
Filed under: uncultured prokaryote
Description: bacterial SSU rRNA
Rfam family: Bacterial small subunit ribosomal RNA
Source: RNAcentral